Molecule: long non-coding RNA, 1672 nt
Organism: Homarus americanus (American lobster)
Lineage: Eukaryota; Metazoa; Arthropoda; Malacostraca; Decapoda; Nephropidae
Exons: 7
Source: RefSeq, a predicted model, not a curated record
AAUAAGUGAUUGUAAAUGACUUGAAAAUAUGGAAAAGGUUUAAUUGUAAAAAAAAAAUAUGAAACAUACUGUAAAUGCCAUGAAAUUCUUAGUCUAAAUAUAAUGUAAAAGAAUUUAUUCGUAAAGUGAAUAAAGGAAAUAAAUAACUUGAAAAACUGUGAAAAAAAAAUAAAAAAAAGCCUUGAUGGAAUAAAACUGGGUAAAUUUGUUUGUAAAUGUUGAUAAAAAGAUACUGAAAGUGAAUGUAAAUGAGAUUGAUAAAAGCACAUUAAAAAAACCCUGUAAAUACCCAAUGUAAAUAAAUCGAAUAACACUGAAAAAAAUUGAAAAUUUGGAAAAAAAUAAACAUUACGUAAAGUCCACAAUUGAAUGAAUUUAAAAUAAACACAAGGAAGGAAAUUGAAGAAAGAAAGAAAGAAAGAAAAAUAUAGAAAACAGAAAAAAAAACGUCCUAGAUUUGCCGUCCAAAGGAAUAACAUAACCUUGACACGUUUAUACAUGUUCAAACACGUUCUUGAAGACAUGUAAACAAAAAACAGCUGUUGUGGCUCCGUCCAGACUCGCUCUUAAAAAUACACAAUACCUCAUUCCAUACAAUACUCAUACACCCCAGGAAGAUGUAUGGGGGAGUGUAUGAGGGUGUUGUAGCUCUAGGGUGUAUGAGUGUUGUAUUUGUGGGAGUAUUUUUUUUGUAGGGGUGUGUAGACGUCUUGUAGUGAAGAUGUUGCCCAAGUCACUCACGUUUGAUCAGCUGAUUGGUCGACCCUGGGGUUAUACUCGUGCCCAGAAUCUUAAGCUGAAGCUGAGGUGUGGAGGCGAGCCGGGGGAGGAUGGAGGUAGUGCGUCAGUCUCCAGGCAGCAUCCUCCUGAUCUCAGUCUCAGCUUAACGUCGCCCUCCUCACUGCUACCUCCGAAUACCCACGAUCCUGCCGAGAUUGUCUCCCCCGUCAACGUGUACAAGGCUUCAGUGUUGAUGGUUCCUGUAGAUGACUGAACCACAUAGGCAGCGGACCUACAACCACAACUAUCACCACUACCACCAUCGUCCCAGCCCUUCACCACCACUCUCACCACCACCCACCCGCCCACUGCACCGCACGGCGCUUCUCAAGGUGGCGGCGGGGUAAGUGGGGAGGAGGACUUGGGGACACCACAAUCAUCCCCAAAAUUGUCUAGGUGGACCGCCCAAAUCCCCGGUUUCCCUAAGGAGCUGGAGAGAAACAUUAAAAUCAAGAAAGGCGCCGACCAACUAGGGGUGAACAUCGAGGUGGUGGACCAAGGUGUGAACGGGGUAGUCGUCUCAUCUCUGGUCAGGAACGGCGCUGUGCACAAGGACGGUCGGCUGCACGCUGGGGACUUUAUCCUGAGUGUAAACAAUGAAUCUAUGAGACACAUUACUAACUCCCAGGCCAGAGCGAUCUUGAGAAGGACCCAACUCGUCAGCACGGAUGUCAGUAUCCUGUACAUCCGUGGGCAGGACGCUGCUGUAUUCCGAGAAGAGUGUCUCUUACAGUACCGUGAAGGACAGCUGCAGCAACAACAACAAUGUCAACAGUCUCAUUACCCACAGCACCAGACUAGUCCAAGGAUCUUCCCGAAGUACUACAGGUAAGUUGUAGGGCUGGAGUUUAGUUAUGUUGUGCCUCUCCUCCUCCUUCUCCUCUUCCAUAUC